UGUGACGUUACCAAACUGUUGCCUCGGCGGGAUCUCUGCCCCGGGUGCGUCGCAGCCCCGGACCAAGGCGCCCGCCGGAGGACCAACCAAAACUCUUUUUGUAUACCCCCUCGCGGGUUUUUUAUAAUCUGAGCCUUCUCGGCGCCUCUCGUAGGCGUUUCGAAAAUGAAUCAAAACUUUCAACAACGGAUCUCUUGGUUCUGGCAUCGAUGAAGAACGCAGCGAAAUGCGAUAAGUAAUGUGAAUUGCAGAAUUCAGUGAAUCAUCGAAUCUUUGAACGCACAUUGCGCCCGCCAGUAUUCUGGCGGGCAUGCCUGUCCGAGCGUCAUUUCAACCCUCGAACCCCUCCGGGGGGUCGGCGUUGGGGAUCGGCCCUGCCUUUGGCGGUGGCCGUCUCCGAAAUACAGUGGCGGUCUCGCCGCAGCCUCUCCUGCGCAGUAGUUUGCACACUCGCAUCGGGAGCGCGGCGCGUCCACAGCCGUUAAACACCCAACUUCUGAAAUGUUGACCUCGGAUCAGGUAGGAAUACCCGCUGAACUUAAGCAUAUCA
This 550-nucleotide ribosomal RNA is filed under the name Trichoderma harzianum. RNAcentral's name for it is "eukaryotic LSU rRNA". The stretch from base 175 to 328 matches the Rfam family "5.8S ribosomal RNA". The record is from RNAcentral. Lineage: Eukaryota; Fungi; Ascomycota; Sordariomycetes; Hypocreales; Hypocreaceae.